AGUGAACGCUGGCGGUAGGCCUAACACAUGCAAGUCGAACGGCAGCACAGUAAGAGCUUGCUCUUACGGGUGGCGAGUGGCGGACGGGUGAGGAAUACAUCGGAAUCUACUUUUUCGUGGGGGAUAACGUAGGGAAACUUACGCUAAUACAGCAUACGACCUACGGGUGAAAGCAGGGGAUCUUCGGACCUUGCGCGAUUGAAUGAGCCGAUGUCGGAUUAGCUAGUUGGCGGGGUAAAGGCCCACCAAGGCGACGAUCCGUAGCCGGUCUGAGAGGAUGAUCAGCCACACUGGAACUGAGACACGGUCCAGACUCCUGCGGGAGGCAGCAGUGGGGAAUAUUGGACAAUGGGCGCAAGCCUGAUCCAGCCAUACCGCGUGGGUGAAGAAGGCCUUCGGGUUGUAAAGCCCUUUUGUUGGGAAAGAAAAGCAGCAGGUUAAUACCCCGCUGUUCUGACGGUACCCAAAGAAUAAGCACCGGCUAACUUCGUG
This 492-nucleotide ribosomal RNA is filed under the name uncultured bacterium. RNAcentral describes it as "partial 16S ribosomal RNA". It matches the Rfam family "Bacterial small subunit ribosomal RNA", at positions 29 to 507 of the family's 1533-position model. The record is from RNAcentral.